CAAAAGGCUUUUUCUGUGUAAGAACUCCCCAAAUCACAAUGGAAAAGCUACAAACAAAUACAAACAAAUACUUU
Molecule: non-coding RNA, 74 nt
Organism: Anas platyrhynchos (mallard)
Lineage: Eukaryota; Metazoa; Chordata; Aves; Anseriformes; Anatidae
Source: Rfam